GACGAACGCUGGCGGCGUGCUUAACACAUGCAAGUCGAACGGAAAGGCCCUUCUUUUGUGGGGUGCUCGAUUGGCGAACGGGUGAGUAACACUUGAGUAACCUUCCCUUGACUUUGUGAUAACUUCAGGAAACUGGGGCUAAUCCCGUAUAGGAGCUCCUGCUGCAUGUUGUGGUUUGGAAAUUUUCGGCGGUUGGGGAUGGACUCGCUGCUUAUCUGCUUGUUGGUGGGGUAGUUGCUUACCAAGGCUUUGACGGGUAGCCGGCCUGAGAGGGUGACCGGCCAAAUUGGGACUGAGAUACGGACCAGACUCCAACGGGAGGCAGCAGUGGGGAAUAUUGAAGAAUGGGCGGAAGCAUGAUGCAGCAAAGCCGCGUGCGGGAUGACGGCCUUCGGGUUGUAAACCGAUUUCGACUGUGACGAAGCGUGAGUGACGGUAAUGGGUAAAGAAGCACCGGCUAACUACGUG
Molecule: ribosomal RNA, 468 nt
Filed under: uncultured bacterium
Lineage: Bacteria
Description: partial 16S ribosomal RNA
Rfam family: Bacterial small subunit ribosomal RNA
Source: RNAcentral